Drosophila obscura is the source of this 1910-nucleotide RNA transcript. It is a transcript of the gene named cell death activator CIDE-3, with no coding region annotated. The record is from RefSeq and is a predicted model, not a curated record. The transcript has 3 exons. Lineage: Eukaryota; Metazoa; Arthropoda; Insecta; Diptera; Drosophilidae.
AGCCAUAGUCGUAGCCGUGAGCCAGCUGUCAGUAAUUCUAUAAUGAAAAUUUAACCAACUUUGGCAAACACAAAUAUGAAAUUAUCCGUUUGGUUUAUCUUGAUGCAAUUGCUGCCAAUGGCGAUGCUGAUGCUGGUACCCACAAGCCACAAAGGAGACGCCUCUGUGGCCAAGUCCCAGAAAGACAACUCUGUGACCAACCUAGGGACGAGCUCCUGCCUUGCGGGGUGCCUCAAGGCGAGCAACAUCAGCAGUGUGGACCCGCCGACAGAGUGUCCACAGUAUGAGAGGACCCUCGACUGCACACUGAUCUGCUUGUUCCAGCAUUAGCUGCAUACAAACAACGGCCAGAACUUUAUCCUGCAUAAAUUCACAAGAGCCUCUUGGGCAUCAUUCACUCUUUAUCUACCUCAUGGACCGCUUUUUGGCCUGUUUGGCCUAUCACCUUCAUUUCAGCCGUAAGCGAAUUAAGCGUAAAUGCAUUUCGUUGUACAAAAUAAAAGCGCAGCCCCACAAGCUUUGCCGAAAUGCAAAUCAAUUACGUGUACCAUUAAUUUUAAUUGCAUGUUACACAUUUCGAGUAUACACAAAAGGCUGGCAAAACCCAACUGUCGGCUUGGCUCAUAUAUCAUUUAGAAUGUCAAAUGCCAGAGGAGCGGUUGGGGCAGGAGCAAAUAUUUGGCAUUUACACAUCCGGAUGCCAUGCCGGCUGAAUCCUCGUGUGCUGCUCCGACAAGUUCAAACAAAAACACCAAAAAAAAAAAAAAAACCAGCAGAAAAAGGAGACAACCAAAUGGCGAGUACCCAUUAUUCGGGAGCCUUGAAAAACGGGCAUGGCAGAUCAACAAAUUUGCAAGGGUAUCCAAAGUGCAACAGUCCAAUCCCCUUUUCGAAUAUCAAAGGUUGAGCCUGCAGCAAAAGACCGGACCCAGACCGAGACCCUGCGGCUGUGGCAAUUAAUCAUUGCCACAUGCGUUGAGUGUGACCUUUUUGAAGGCAACUCCUGCUGCUGCUGUUGCUGCUGUUGCUGCUGUUGAUGCUCCUCUUGCUGCGACGACAUGUGAGUUAAUUAAUCUAACUGCCCAACGGCUGUCAGACUGCAGACGAGGACAAUAGUAGAAGGAAGGUCAUGGACUGUUAUUAAACACGCCGCUCGAUGAUGAAGGGGAUUUCGGCAGCACCACCCCCUGACCGUCAGCACUUCCUCGGCAAACCCACCUGGCUGACGCGGCGCAUAAAUUUCAAUUUGUUCCACCGUCUGGUCGGUUCAGGGAGGAUGGGGUGCGGGUCUAUGCAUUUAAAUUGAUGUUGCUUCUGGCUGCAUAUGCGAAAAGUUGUUCGCGCCACGGCCCAAUGCACAAUUAGUGGACCGAGGCACAUAAAUUAUGUGGUCCCCCAACCGAAAGGGGGAAAUGAAGGCGGAAAUGAUUGCCUCGAAGGGCGAACAAGCAGACGAAUGUGCAAAAUGGCAACCGAAAUUCGCUGAUGCGAUGCGGUCGGUCGGUCAGUCAGCUAAAAUAUGCAUAGAGUGUUGCCUGCUUUUAGGCCCAGCAAGGACUCGUCGCGAGACAGCGAACAAUCAAUGAGAGAGGUAAUCCAUUCGCGAAUGCCAUCAUGACGUGACUCUGCAAGUGAUCACGUACCCAUCCCCAUCAGGGCUGCAGGAUUUCCGCAAUUACUUUAACCGCGCCAUACAUACAUAUAGUACAUAUGAGUAUGCGUAUGUCUAUGGCAUUUAUGAGCAAUAUUUCGGCAUUGUAGGCUUAACUCUGUUAUAAAUAUCGUCCCCACAUGAUGUUUAAAGCCUCGGGGUCUGACUUUAAACAAUAAAUUUGUAUAUCAAGUCAGCUGGCGGUGGAGCGGGGUCUAAUAAAUCGAAUAAAAUAAAAAGAAGUCCUUUGUCUCUCAAC